GACGAACGCUGGCGGCGUGCUUAACACAUGCAAGUCGAACGGAAAGGCCCUGCUUUUGUGGGGUGCUCGAGUGGCGAACGGGUGAGUAACACGUGAGUAACCUGCCCUUGACUUUGGGAUAACUUCAGGAAACUGGGGCUAAUACCGGAUAGGAGCUCCUGCUGCAUGGUGGGGGUUGGAAAGUUUCGGCGGUUGGGGAUGGACUCGCGGCUUAUCAGGUUGUUGGUGGGGUAGUGGCUUACCAAGGCUUUGACGGGUAGCCGGCCUGAGAGGGUGACCGGCGACAUGGGGACUGAGAUACGGCCCAGACGCCUACGGGAGGCAGCAGUGGGGAAUAGUGCACAAUGGGCGGAAGCCUGAGGCAGCAACGCCGCGUGCGGGAUGACGGCCUUCGGGUUGUAAACCGCUUUCGCCUGCGACGAAGCGUUAGUGACGGUAAUGGGUAAAGAAGCACCGGCUAACUACGUG
Molecule: ribosomal RNA, 468 nt
Filed under: uncultured bacterium
Lineage: Bacteria
Description: partial 16S ribosomal RNA
Rfam family: Bacterial small subunit ribosomal RNA
Source: RNAcentral